RNAcentral lists this ribosomal RNA (405 nucleotides) under uncultured bacterium. RNAcentral describes it as "bacterial SSU rRNA". It matches the Rfam family "Bacterial small subunit ribosomal RNA", at positions 29 to 421 of the family's 1533-position model. The record is from RNAcentral.
AACGAACGCUGGCGGCGCGCCUAACACAUGCAAGUCGAACGAGAAUCCGGGGCAACCCGGUAGUAAAGUGGCAAACGGGUGAGGAAUACAUGGGUAACCUACCCUUGAGAAGGGAAUAACCCGCCGAAAGGUGAGCUAAUACCCUAUACGCUAUCUUUUUUUCGAAAGGAAUAGAAAGACCGGGUCGAGGACCUGGUACUCAAGGAGGGGCGUCAUGUCCUAUCAGCUUGUUGGUGGGGUAACGGGCCUACCAAGGCUACGACGGGUAGCUGGUCUGAGAGGAUGAUCAGCCACACUGGCACUGAGAUACGGGCCAGACUCCUACGGGAGGCAGCAGUGAGGAAUAUUGCGCAAUGGGCGAAAGCCUGACGCAGCGACGCCGCGUGGGGGAGUGAAGGUUUUCGG